RNAcentral lists this ribosomal RNA (497 nucleotides) under uncultured bacterium. Its description in RNAcentral is "partial 16S ribosomal RNA". It matches the Rfam family "Bacterial small subunit ribosomal RNA", at positions 28 to 507 of the family's 1533-position model. The record is from RNAcentral.
GAUGAACGCUGGCGGCGUGCCUAAUACAUGCAAGUCGAGCGAACAGACGAGGAGCUUGCUCCUCUGACGUUAGCGGCGGACGGGUGAGUAACACGUGGAUAACCUACCUAUAAGACUGGGAUAACUUCGGGAAACCGGAGCUAAUACCGGAUAAUAUAUUGAACCGCAUUGUUCAAUAGUGAAAGACGGUUUUGCUGUCACUUAUAGAUGGAUCCGCGCCGCAUUAGCUAGUUGGUAAGGUAACGGCUUACCAAGGCAACGAUGCGUAGCCGACCUGAGAGGGUGAUCGGCCACACUGGAACUGAGACACGGUCCAGACUCCUACGGGAGGCAGCAGUAGGGAAUCUUCCGCAAUGGGCGAAAGCUUGACGGAGCAACGCCGCGUGAGUGAUGAAGGUCUUCGGAUCGUAAAACUCUGUUAUUAGGGAAGAACAAAUGUGUAAGUAACUAUGCACAUCUUGACGGUACCUAAUCAGAAAGCCACGGCUAACUACGUG